This 1703-nucleotide long non-coding RNA is filed under the name Homo sapiens (human). RNAcentral describes it as "non-protein coding lnc-FDX1-1:10". Lineage: Eukaryota; Metazoa; Chordata; Mammalia; Primates; Hominidae. The record is from RNAcentral.
GUUCUUAGAGCUCCCGAGAUGGUGGCGGCCGGCUCCCAAGGUGGCAGCAAGACUUUUGUUCUCUGACCUGGGGUUCUUGGCCUCCUGGAUUCCAAAGAAUGGAACCUUGGGGCCAUGCGAUAAAUAUGCUGAGGCAUGUUUUCAAGGAGGGGAGAGAGAUUCCUUUUCCUCAGCCGGGCACAGAGCCAACCUGAAGUGUAGCACUGUGGUGACCUGGCGGGAUCUGCUCUCCAGUCACUCCCGAGGGCCCUUCUGGGGACAAGGAGACUUUUCUGUGCGGCCUGUUGAUUUGAGAUCGAGGCUAUCAAGCUACAGAUGAUCUUACAAAUGGAACCCCAAAUGAGCUCAACUAACAACUACCAAGGACCCCUGGACCAACCCGCUGGCCCUUUCAAUGGCCUAAAGAGUUCCCCUCUGGAGGACACUACAACUGCAGGGUCCUUUCUUUGCCCCUAUCCAGCAGGAAGUAGCUAGAGUGGUCAUCACCCAAUUCCCAACAGCAGUUGGGGUGUCUUGUUAAGUGGGGAGAUUGAGAGGUGAAGCCAGCUGGGCUUCUGGGUUGGGUGGGGACUUGGAGAACUUUUCUGUCUAGCUAGAGGAUUGUAAACACACCAAUCAGUGCUAUGUGUCUAGCUAGAGGUUUGUAAAUGCACCAAUCAGCACUCUGUAAAAACGGACCAAUCAGCACUCUGUAAAAUGGACCAAUCAGUAGGAUGCGGGCAGGGCCAAAUAAGGGAAUAAAAGCUGGCCACCUGAGUCAGCAGUGGCAACCCACUCGGGUCCCCUUCCAUGCUGUGGAAGCUUUGUUCUUUCACUCUUCACAAUAAAUCUUGCUGCUGCUCACUCUUUGGGUCCACACCACCUUUAUGAGCUGCAACACUCACUGCGAAGGUCUUCAGCUUCACUCCUGAAGUCAGCGAGACCACGAACCCAUGGGGAGGAACAAUCGACUUCAGACAUGCCACCUUUAAGAGCUGUAACACUCACUGCGAAGGUCUGUGGCUUCACUCCUGAAGUCAGCAAGACCACGAACCCACUGGAAGGAAGAAAUUUCGGACACAUCUGAACAUCUGAAUGAACAAACUCUGGACACGCCAUCUUUAAGAACUGUAACACUCACUGUGAGGGUUCAUGGGUUCAUUCUUGAAGUCAGCAAGACCAAGAACCCACCAGAAGGAACCAAUUCCGGACACAGACUCACUGCAACCUCCACCUCCUGGAUUCAAGUGAUUCUCCUGCCUCAGCCUCCGGAGUAGCUGUGCCUACAGGCACAAGCCACCACACACGGCUAAUUUUUUGUAUUUUUAGUAGAGAUGGGGUUUCACCAUGUUGCUCAGGCUGGUCUCCAACUCCUGAGCUCAAGUGAUCCACCUGUCUCGGCCUCCCAAAGUGUUGGGAUACAUGUGUGAGCCACUGUGCCCGGCCUCCUCUGGAUUAGUUCUUACAGGAAUAGAUUAGUUCUUGCUCGAGCAAGUUGUUAUAAAAGUGAGGUUGCCUCUAGUGUUUUGCAUCCUCACAUAUGUCUGCUUACCUCUUGACCUCUCUCUGUGUUAUGACCCAGCACAAAAGCCCUUACCAGAAGCCAAGCAGAUGCUGAUGCCACACCCCUUGGACUUCUCAGUCUACAGAGCCAUGAAACGAAUAAACCUCUCUUUAUAAAUUAUCCAGCUUCAGGUAUUCUGUUAUAGCAACACAAAAUGGAC